This 413-nucleotide long non-coding RNA is filed under the name Rattus norvegicus (Norway rat). RNAcentral describes it as "long non-coding RNA NONRATT034023". Lineage: Eukaryota; Metazoa; Chordata; Mammalia; Rodentia; Muridae. The record is from RNAcentral.
ACGGAAUCUCUUUUGGAACAGUAAUUGGCAUUCUAUUCUUCCCUCAGAUCCACUCUUGUUCCCCUCCAUGCUAAGAGCAUUUCUUACCUUGGCUCUGGCUUCCCGGGUAGCCUCAGCCUCAGCCGCCAUGGACCUCUGCAGCUGCACCGGAAUCCGGACAUCUUUGAUCUCCACCCGGGCCACUCGGAUUCCCCAUAGCUCAGUGGCAUCAUCAAGCAAGACCUCACCAAGUGUUCCAGACGUCAGUGCACAGGCUUCUCAGACAGACCUGGGUUUGUCCUGGCCGUACAAUUAGCAGCUGUGAUUCACUGCAUCAGCUUGAUAACCCUCGAUCAGCUUGAUAAUCUCAAGUUUCCUCACCUAGGCUUCCUGUCAGCGUUGGAGGUAACACACAUAAUGACCUCCUGACCCCC